GUCCACCGACACCGGUUAAUUUUCAUAGGGGCAUAACCCUACCAAUGAGUCGUUGAAUCUUUUCGAUCCAAAUGUAACGAAGAACCGGGGUCUGGUCCUGAACAAAUUUCACCCUUCGUUUAUUUUCUACCUAUUACGGUUACGGUGUUGGAACGAUAACAAGGUUUUUUGGUUUCGGAGGAAUUACUCCGAACCGACAAAAUAUUUCGACUAACAGGGUGAGUUCUAGAUAGGUAUAUAUGACACCGAUACAAAGUGUGAACAUGAAAG
This 270-nucleotide long non-coding RNA is filed under the name Mytilus galloprovincialis (Mediterranean mussel). Lineage: Eukaryota; Metazoa; Mollusca; Bivalvia; Mytilida; Mytilidae. The record is from RNAcentral.